RNAcentral lists this ribosomal RNA (171 nucleotides) under uncultured bacterium. Its description in RNAcentral is "partial 16S ribosomal RNA". It matches the Rfam family "Bacterial small subunit ribosomal RNA", at positions 365 to 523 of the family's 1533-position model. The record is from RNAcentral.
UGGACACUGGGCGCAAGCCUGAUGCCAGCCAUGCCGCGUGCAGGAUGACGGUCCUAUGGAUUGUAAACUGCGUUUUGUACGAGAAAGAAACACUCCUGACGUGUCAGAGGGCUUGACCGGUAUCGUAACGAAUAACGGAUCGGCCUAACUCCGUGCCAGCAGCCGCAGGUA